UACGGAGGGUGCAAGCGUUAUCCGGAUUCACUGGGUUUAAAGGGUGCGUAGGUGGGCAAGUAAGUCAGUGGUGAAAUCUCCGGGCCUAACCCGGAAACUGCCAUUGAUACUAUUUGUCUUGAAUACUGUGGAGGUCAGCGGAAUAUGUCAUGUAGCGGUGAAAUGCUUAGAUAUGACAUAGAACACCAAUUGCGAAGGCAGCGGGCUACACAAAUAUUGACACUGAGGCACGAAAGCGUGGGGAUCAAACAGG
This 253-nucleotide ribosomal RNA is filed under the name uncultured bacterium. RNAcentral describes it as "partial 16S ribosomal RNA". It matches the Rfam family "Bacterial small subunit ribosomal RNA", at positions 524 to 776 of the family's 1533-position model. The record is from RNAcentral.